This 89-nucleotide ribosomal RNA is filed under the name Corynebacterium diphtheriae bv. mitis. Lineage: Bacteria; Bacillati; Actinomycetota; Actinomycetes; Mycobacteriales; Corynebacteriaceae. The record is from RNAcentral.
CCGGUCCCUUUCCGAACCCGGAAGCUAAGCCCGAUUGCGCUGAUGGUACUGCACCUGGGAGGGUGUGGGAGAGUAGGUCGCCGCCAACC